RNAcentral lists this ribosomal RNA (497 nucleotides) under uncultured bacterium. Its description in RNAcentral is "partial 16S ribosomal RNA". It matches the Rfam family "Bacterial small subunit ribosomal RNA", at positions 28 to 507 of the family's 1533-position model. The record is from RNAcentral.
GAUGAACGCUGGCGGCGUGCCUAAUACAUGCAAGUCGAGCGAACAGACGAGGAGCUUGCUCCUCUGACGUUAGCGGCGGACGGGUGAGUAACACGUGGAUAACCUACCUAUAAGACUGGGAUAACUUCGGGAAACCGGAGCUAAUACCGGAUAAUAUAUUGAACCGCAUGGUUCAAUAGUGAAAGACGGUUUUGCUGUCACUUAUAGAUGGAUCCGCGCCGCAUUAGCUAGUUGGUAAGGUAACGGCUUACCAAGGCAACGAUGCGUAGCCGACCUGAGGGGGUGAUCGGCCACCCUGGAACUGAGACACGGUCCAGACUCCUACGGGAGGCAGCAGUAGGCAAUCUUCCGCAAUGGGCGAAAGCCUUACGGAGCAACGCCGCGUGAGUGAUGAAGGUCUUCGGAUCGUAAAACUCUGUUAUUAGGGAAGAACAAAUGUGUAAGUAACUAUGCACGUCUUGACGGUACCUAAUCAGAAAGCCACGGCUAACUACGUG